GUGAGGAUCUUAGAUUUCUUGAUCAUUCAACUUAUUUAUCCCUUUACAGUUCAGCUUAAACUCAGCUUGUUAACUUUUCUGAUAUGGAAAGAUGAAGGAUCGAGUUUAACAAGAUGCUGGAAGAUUGAAAAAAUUGCUAACCAAGUUUUAUGUCUCCCCCAUAAUCUUAUUAAGAUUUGACAAUGUACUUGCUUUACUUUACAUUGAAAAGGGAAAGUAUGCCUUGAAGUUGCAAUGUUAAAAACCGGUCGUAGCUUUCGUAAUACAUAAAUAAACACUCAAACUUGGCUUUGACUGGAAAGUAAGCGCUCCAACUUUGAGAGUGCACAUCUAGACACCUCAACUUGGUGUUACUUUACAUUGAAAAGGGAAAGUAUGCCUUGAAGUUGCAAUGUUAAAAACCGGUCGUAGCUUUCGUAAUACAUAAAUAAACUCUCAAACUUGGCUUUGACUGGAAAGUAAGCGCUCCAACUUUGAGAGUGCACAUCUAGACACCUCAACUUGGUGUUACUUUACAUUGAAGGUGUCUAAAUGAUCAUUUGGUAAGUUGGAGUGUACUACUGACACAUUGGAGACGAGUUGAGGUAUCUAGGUGUGCAUACUCAAAGUUAGAGUGCUAAGUGCUUAGUUGUCGGUUGAGACCAACUUUAAGUGUCUGUUUAUGUAUUAUGUCUAAACUAAAUUCUGAUUUGAACCCGAACACCCCCCCUACCCAAUCCCUUACUUGUCAAAAGAGGGUAUUAUCCUUGAAGAGAUCUUGUUUUAGAAUGUCAUGCCUUCAGUCUGAGCAGGCUGAUGCUGGUUGGUAUUGAAGGUUCAAACUUUUUGAAUUGACCUACUGCAACCUUGAAAUUGCCAAAAAUGCGUGUGGAGAAUUAUGCAGUAAACAUUCAGGAAAAAACUCUACAGUUCAGUAAAAUAUUGAAGAUGGAUAAGUUUCAUGGUACCAG
Molecule: long non-coding RNA, 950 nt
Filed under: Solanum tuberosum (potato)
Lineage: Eukaryota; Viridiplantae; Streptophyta; Magnoliopsida; Solanales; Solanaceae
Description: long non-coding RNA (STUB_LNC006015)
Source: RNAcentral